CAAGCAAUGACACUGUCAUAAACCCCCAGGCCUACGAUGACAACUCUGCCAGAUGUCCAACCAACAGCCGCUAUGAGCUGUGUGGCUCUGCCUGUCCUGCCACCUGCUCUGACCCCAGUUCCCCCUCCAAGUGUGGAAACCUGUACAUGUAACACUGGCUUCGUCCUAAGUGGGGGGCCAGUGUGUUCCCGCCACCUGCAGCUACCAGGGCAGCUACGUGCCAGUCGGUGACUCCUUCUGGGCUGAUCAGGUCUGCCGACGACGCUGCUCCUGUGUCCCUGAGCGGCAAGGUUGACUGCCAGGAUGUAUGUUGCCGGGCAGGGCAGGUGUGCCAGGUGGUGGAUGGCAUCAGGGACUGCCACCCUGUGUCCCACAGCAUCUGCCAUGCCAGGCCUGUGCUUCACAGACCUGGGCCUGGUGCCCUUUGAGGUGCGGGUGCAAAAUUACUUCCGGGUGGUUUCCUGUACCAAGCUGCUGGAGGUCAGGGUCUUCAGCCAGAACAUUGUCAUCACUAUGGGGAACAAGCGCCAGAUCACGGUGGACAAUGAGUUGGUCAACCUGCCUAUGUACCUGAACAAUGGUCAGGUGUCUGUCUACAGGAGUGGCUGGUAUGCUGUGGUCACAACCAGCUUUGGCCUUAACGUCUCCUUCGACUGGAACAGUGCAAUGUUUGUCACGCUGCCCUCCACCUACAGGUCGCUGCCUGUGGCAACUACAACACCCGGCCUCAAGAUGACCUUGUACCCAGGAACGAGACAACCCCUGCCAGGCCAGAGGACUUCGGGGCCAGUUGGUGCAUGGAGCAGAUCCCUGGCUGUGUCCACGGCUGUAUUGGGGCCUGUCCCAACUGAAGUCAACCAGAAGAGGUGGUUCUGAGGAACCCGACGGGGCCUUUCCAGGACUGCUUUGCCACAGUGAACCAGGUGGGAUACUUUGAGGACUGCGUGUAUGACGUGUGUUUGUAUAAGGGCAAGUGUCCAGCCCACAGCCACUGAGGUGUGUUUCUGGCUGUCCUGCCACUUGCCAGAGCCUGUCCCCUCCCUCAGGUUGCCUCGCCCAGUGUAACGAGGGCUUCUCCUGUAAUGAAG
Molecule: long non-coding RNA, 1088 nt
Organism: Oncorhynchus tshawytscha (Chinook salmon)
Lineage: Eukaryota; Metazoa; Chordata; Actinopteri; Salmoniformes; Salmonidae
Source: Ensembl